GUGUUCUUUGCUUACUCUUUCUCCAUCUUUAUCCUCUCUUUAGCCAAGUCAUGAACACUGACCUUUAUCUUCUUCUCCUCGUCACCCAAACACGCAUAUAUAUCCACAAACGCACACACUCACCAAAACAGAUCACAAUAAAUUGUUCAACAUCGCUUCAAUCUUCUCUCACCAGAAGCUGACAUUCUGCUGGCAUUCCAAGAAUGGGAAACUGUUGCAGAGCUGAAUCUUCAUCAUCAACGAUCUGGGCCGGCGAUGACUGGAACUCACUGCCUCGUGAUGGAGGAGAAGGCAAGAAGGGGCUUCUUGAUGAUGCUGAUGGAAAGAGAGUUUCUUCUUCUUCUUCACGCAGGAGAGAGAUCAAGAUCCAGAUCAGUAAGAAGGAUCUAGAGAAGUUGGUGCACAAAAUCGAGGCUCAAGGACUGUCUCUAGAGCAAGUCCUGCCUCUUCUGAUUAACAAGAACACUUUCAAUCGUCAUCAGUUGGGUUUCACGAAGCACGGCUGUCAUCGUUCAUGGAGACCGGCUUUGCAAAGUAUUCCAGAGGCCAUCUAGAAGAAGUUUUCUGGUCCUUUUCUCAUUCCUUUGUACGUACAUGGGGUAAGGCAUAGGUUUUGGUUUUUUUUUUUUUUUCCUUUUUUCUUGAUAUAUGACAAUUUUCUUAGAAGUAGUUACAUAAUCUCCUCUAGUAUUAGGUUAUGUUUGGUUUGUGAAAACGUACUUUCACACAAUAUAUGUGCUAAUGCUACAAAUGAUUUGAUUGGGGAGAUAUUUAUUUGCAUUUAAAGACUUAUCCUUUUACCUAGAAAGGAUAAAUCGUAGUGUUGUGGUUUCUUCCUUCACUUCAGUUAGAUCGAGUGUCAUCACAUAAUCUAAUAAUCACUCGGAGAAUUAUAGAGUCACCAUCGCUCAACUACUUGAGUAUUUGACAGUUCUUUUACGCAUAUACCACCCACGGUAUUUAGUCUCAUGUCAUUACUCAAUAAAGCAAAAUCGCGGAUAAUUACCUCACCGCUUCCAAACGCUCACGCCUUCCUUGAGACAAGCAAUAUAAAUCGGAUGUACUGCACAAAUCACCGAGUGAAAUCCUUGAAGAAGAAGCUUUGAUAUUCAAACAGCGUAUAUACUUCUUUAGUACUGCUACAGAACAACUGAAAAGCAAAAACCGCCUCUUGAAGAAUUUAUAUGUCAUGAACCCACGUGGAACCUACUUCACCAAAAUAUCUUCCACAUAAAUAAAAGUCCAAUUCGAACUUGGAAACAACGGCAUAUAGAAGCGUCCAAGAAACCUCAUACUUUCCCAUUGGGGCUUUGACAUAUUUUAAUGUGGGUCCAGCGUCGUAUACCGGGCUAAAAACUCGCCGCAGCGACGACGGCAGGAUUUGCAGGUGAUUUCAUGAGAAUGAGGCAUAUGAUGGAAGGUGGAAGUAGAGGAGGCAAUAUCAGUAGCUAUCCUGCGAAUGCGGAUGUGGUCCUUAGGCGUUUUCUGAUGGACCGAUGGCUGAGGAAUAAUGGUCCGUCCGUGCCACGUACAUUGCUCUGGUUGUUCAUCAUGUUAUGGGGUGGCAGCUUGCAAAGACAAUCUUGUACGACAAUACUUUGAGUCUUACGAAUUCUGAGAUCUAAUGACUGUAUCGUGUUGGGGAAAGAAAGAAAAGAGAAAGAUCAUCUCAACCGUUAACCAUUUGAAUAAGCCAAUGAAGCAAAAGCAAAGUCAUUUCCAUCCCUUCAACCAGUUAAAGAAUGAAAGAACUGAUUCAUGGAUCUGCACUGGCAAUAAGCCUGCUUUCAAUCUAUCGGUGCAAAACCCUAAUGCCAAAGACUCAUAUCUCAGGCCGUAUUUCCUUACCAUCCUCUGUUAUCUCCUCUACAUGUGGAUGGAUAGCACUCCUGAUUUCCACUCAAUAAUGGUUCAACCAAAUGAGAUAUUUAGGGGGCUUGAUGUAACUUUGAAUCAUCUCUCUAUUGUAUAAAAUGGGAAAACUGUAAUUUUCCUUCUCUUGUCCACAAUAUCAGUCUAUUUUCCGGAGAUUCCAUUCCCACGAACUUGGGUGUUACGGAUGUUUCAGUCAAUUUCGGCUUUCUAUGUUCUUACUUAGCAUUAAAUUCUCCGCUACGUCGGUUCUCUAGAAGUGGGUAUAAACUUUUCCUACUUUGUUUGAGUCCUGCAAUUUAUUUGAUUUCGUCCCAAUGCUUACGACUUCCAAUGAACUUUUCCUUGUGAAAAUACUUCCGAUCACCUAAGACGCUGCUCAGAAUAUAAAGAAAUUAUUUCGUAUUUCGGUUCGUUGGAAAAAUUCUCCUACUUGAUUAUCAAUGUUUCACUAGUCGUGCUUUAUUUUUUGUAUUUUUUUAUAAUCUCGUAUCUAAAGCACAACGGCAAAAUAGUGUGCUUGAGUAGGUUUUGAGAAGCUAUCAAUCAUUUAUUAAUAUAUUUAUAAUAAUUUGAUUAAUAUAAAUAUUAAUUUAUUAAAAACUAUUUGAUAAUUUAUUAAAUAUUCGUCAUUUAAGUCAGCUUUUUAUUAUUAUUAAUUUAUGUAAUUAGAUUAUUAAAAAUCACAGUAUGGCCAUAUCUGAAAAUAAAUAUUAGUUCCAACUCAAAUCAAUCAAAUUAAUUUGUUUCGAUCAAUUUAUAUAUAAUAUAAAUUGAGAGUAUACUCGACUCAACCUACAUUACUUGAACACAUAAAUAUUAAAAAAAAAAAAAUUAUGCUAUGCACGUAGCGAUUUAUUGCGCACUUGUACAUCUUCAAAUCGAAUGAAGAUAGGUAUUAUUGCGUGUUGCCUAAUUAACUUCCCUCAGCAUAUAUUGGGAAACAUGAUAGGUUUACAUAUAUGUUGAGAUAAUUUUUUCCACUAUGUAACUUUUAUUCCUAGUUUAGUUUAUAAUAUUCAAAUUCAAUAUAUAAUAAGAUAUCUGUAAUUUAAAUUGGAGACUUUAACGAUAUUUCUCAAACUUUUUUCUUUGAAUUAUAGAAUUUUAAAUUUUUAUUUGUAGAUGAAAGAAUCAUUUGGAAAGCUCAUUUGAAGAAGGAAGGGACUUCGACUUGACGUGGAUCCGAAUAAAGUAGCUGAGUGGUUAGUAAAACAAUAUUUUCCAAGCCCACUUGAAUUAUUAAACUAUAUGUCAAGAUAAAUGAUCAGAGACGUUUUUAAAUAUAGCUUUUCACUAAACAAAAGUUUAUUUCAAAUGCGCUUGGGAAAUACUUUGGAAAAUGACAUAAAUAACCUUUGAAUUUUGACCCAAUUUACAAUGUGGUCGUCGAACUUCAACUUAAUGUUGUUGACAACUAAAUUUUGGCUACCAUAUUUAAUUCUUUAUUGCAUAAGAAAAUUAGAGGUUGGUCUAACCGCUAAACAAAAAUAUCAUUAGCAUUAUUCAUAUUUAUAUCACAUGCAAAUCACAUGGCCCUUUGCACAGUAUUAUCAUGUAUCAUUGUACGUGCAAUUGAAGAGACUUUUUUAAAAUGUGAUCGGACAUGAUGAGUUUGAACUCCACCCUCAACUCCUUGUUGAUGAAAUACAAUCUCUAACGGUUCGAUGGUUAUCUGCAAUUAUCAAUUCAAUUCUAUUUUGAAAAAGGAGAAAAAAUUAGGGUGAAGAGAAAUAUUUGGGCAAACUAAUCCACAAGUUACAAAAGAAAGGGAAAUAUGAUUGUAAGGUGAUUAAGGGUGCAUUUGGUUGGACUUUUUGGGAAAGUUAUUGGGAAAAUGCAAAGGAUUUUAGGUUGAAGGGAUUUUUCAGAAUGCAAAUUGUGUUUGGUAAAUUACAAUUUAAAAAUCCAUUGUGAAGUACCUUUGAGCAAAAUGGUGUUUGGGGGAAUUACAUUUACAAAGGAUAGGCGGCGAGGUCGCUCGACGCCGGCGAUCGAAAAUUGACCGGCAAGGGCAGGCGACUGCUGGCGAUCGAAAUUUGUCGCCAGCGGCCUACAUCUGACUCAAGCAGCCCCAGAGACGAUUGGGGAGGGCUGCCCGGGGUCGAGCGACCCCUGAAGACCACUAGCAAAGGCUGCCCGGGGUCGGGCGACCUUUGGCGAUCCCACCGCCCUCAGAUCUGGGGCAGUGAGGUCAACGAUGUCGUUGCCCCCGGAUCUGGGGUGGUGAGGUCGCGCAACACCGUUGCAACCUUCGGCGACCUAGGAUCUAGGGCCGCGAGGUUGCGUGACAUCACCUCGACCUUCGGCGACCUCGCCGCGACCUAGAUCCGAGGCGUUGAGGUCGCGGGAGGACCUUGCUGCCCCAAUCGUGCGACCUCGCCGCCCCUGGAUCUGGGUCGCGGGAGGUCGUGCGACACCGCUGCGACCUAGAUCCGGGGCGUUGAGGUCGUGAGAGGACCUCACCGCCCCAGAUCUGGGUCAUGGUAGAGUCGCGCGACCUCGCUGCCUUAAUCGCCUGACCUCGCUGCCCCCGGAUCUGGGUCGCGGGAGGUCGUGCGACGUUGCUGCGACCCAGAUUCGAGGGCGGCAAGGUCGCGUGACCCAAAUUGGGGGUGGCAAGGUCCUCUUGUGACCCUGUCGCCCAAGAUGGUGCAUUGGUCGCGCCACCCCUCGACGACGGUCAUCUGGGUGACGUUCGUUGGUGACUGCCUGCCCAUGAUUGCUUGCCCUUCGACGGCGACCGCUCGUAGAGAAGAAGAAGAAGAUGAUGAUGAAUAGUGAGGGCAAAACUGGAAAAAGGAAAAAUCAAUGAGGAUAAUUUGGGAAGAAAAUUUUUUUUAGCCCCUCAGUUCAGCAUUCUUGGCAUGCUAAAAGCCCAAGGCAGCCCCCAACCUGCUUUGGGCUUUCAGCCUUGUGAAGGCUGACAUUUUGCAAAGGGGUUUUGAAAUUUUUUUGCCAAACACCCAUCCUUGGCCCAAGGAUCUUUUGGGCUUCAAAGUAGCUUCUCAAGGCUACUCCCAAACGCACCCUCAGUUUGAAAAGUGAAAAAAGAAAUGUCAUUAUCUCCAAAAUUCUCUUCAAUAAGAAGAAUCCCUAGUGAUUUUGUGGGAAUAUGCUGCUUUCCUUGCCUUAGUGAAUAAUAUGUCUUUGCAUCGAGUUUGAUCAUUCACAUUCAAGAAAAAAUGUAAAAAGUUUGAUGUUUGCUUUCUUAUACCCCAGGUUCUGUUCCCCAUUCGAUGCUACGAUACCAUAAAAUGAGUGGAUGGGAUGUGUGUAGAUUAUUCUGGUCAAUACCUAAUGCGGUGAAUCGAUAGGACUUCCCGUCUAUUUGCAAACCAUAGUGUCAAACACUGAUAUCUCUACGUCACGAAAACUAAAGUUUCAUAAAUAUUCUCAAUUGUUGGAUAGCAUAAUUCCCCCGGUGAAAAUGACAUUGCCCCAAAAAUUUAAAUAUUGCAGUCUUUUGAUUCUCGAUUGAAUUAGUCUUUGGGUAACUUCCCAUCUAUCUGUUGUACAGAGCGGACCAUGAAAUUAGCCACCCCAUGUUGGCUUAACCCGGCUACAACAGGGCAAGAUAGAGCUAUUCGCACACACAAUCUGAAAAUGUCAAGUUUUGAUAUGAUGAUUGAUUAAUAAACAAGAGAAUUCAUUCAGUUAACUAUAAACAUAGUAAAUAGGGGGAGCCCUCAUCACUUAAUAGGGGUUGCAACGAGAACUGCUCGAACCAGGAAUUGCUUAGAGCGAACCAGACUAGCCGGUUUUGGGCGGUUCCCAAAGAGGGGGGGUCCGGUUCCCAGAUCCCACAUUUGGAAUUGAUGGUCGGUUGGUCAGGUUCCUGAUUCCAAGUUGGGAACAUGACUAAUCAAACUAAUUGGGCCGGACUAGUUAAUUCCUCCCAAUUUCUCCCAUUUUUCAUUUUAUUUUUGGCCCAGUUCCACUAGACUGGUCAGUCGGUCCAAUUCUUGAUUCCAGGACCACUCAGUUUAGUUCCCGGUCCCAGAAUCUAGAAACUGGUCCUCCAGUUCGAUUCCUGGUUCCACCUUAGAACUGGACCGGACCGAGAACUGAUCGGUUCGAUCACUUUCUUAAUCUAUUAGUUCUAUCUUAAAAAAGAGUGUUAGAAUAUUCAAAUAUUAAAUCAUACAUUCAUAUAAUGAUUUGAAUUUGUCGAGUAAUUGGGUGUGCUCCAUUUUCACCAAUGGACGGUGGAUGGAGUCUUAAGGACCACAAUCUCUCUCUCUCUCUCUCUCUCUCUCUCUCUCUCUCUCUCUCUCUCUCUCUCUUCUCUCUCUCUCUCUCUCUCUCUCUCUCUCUCUCUCUCUCUCUCUCUCUCUCCACAUAUGUGUAAACUCUAUAACUCUACAAGUCAUCAAAUUCAACUGUAUGAACCCAUCGCUAUCUCAAAUGAGGCCACAAUACCUUGUUCUCAUUGAACUUGGCCUCAACGACAACAAGAUUUCACCACGAUUAGAGUCAAGUUCGACGUCAUCAAUGACAAAAAGGCCAUGGUGCAGACGACGACUAUUAUGGUUAGCGAUGAAGAGAGAUCCAGAGAGCAAAGCCAAAAAGAGAAAUGCAUCAAUCAAGUUUGCACAUAUGUUGGCAUCAGAGUCAAUGAUUUUGGAGGUGGAAUGGUGCUGGCGUUAAAGUGGAUGGUUUGGGGUGCAGAGUCGUGGCGACUUCAGGCAGGUUAGAGCUUUGUAUGUGGUUACUAAGGCUAGAUUAUUAAUGACCAUUGGACCCACCAUAAGUCGAUAUAACAAGGUAAAUCGACCCUAAGCGGACAAUACAUCCAGCAUUCAAACAUGUCAACAUUGCCUAGAUUAUGUCAAUAUACGCCUUACCCUACUUGAUCUCAAGUCAACUUCUAGAUUCAAACUCUCUCCCAACAUAACAUCACUUGAUUUCCUUUGGAAUCUUGGGCAUCAUUUCCCCAACGUGGUCAUCCUCCUCUAGUCUGAAGGCUGAUGCCACAUCAAAACUUGUCUAGCCAUCUAGAAAAUUAUUUGCAAAGAGAAAGUGGGGCUCGAGCUACUUCUUCAAGCUUGUCAAGUAGCCGAGCCGGUUUGACGUUUUCGCCGCCAUGCUAUUUAAUUGUGGUCAUGCUCAUGCAUGAGAAAAGAUCAUACGAUUAGUCACCCCCUUCUCUCUCCAUCGUCCUACGUGUCACCCCCUCCCCCCUUCUCUCUCUAGAUUGCUUACUGUUUCUCCAUCUCUAUCCUCUCUCUCUCUCUCUCUCUCUCUCUCUCUCUCUCUCUAAAACUAAGUCAUGAAUCCAGACCUGGACUUCUUCUUCUCCUUCGCCACCCGUACGCAUAUAUAAAUGUCCGUAAAAACCCACAGCAGUCACCGAAAACACCGCAGGAUAGGUUGUUCAAUAUCGCUUCAAUCUUCUCUUACCAGAAGCUGACAUUCUGCUGGCAUUCCAAGAAUGGGAAACUGUUGCAGACCUGAAUCUUCAUCAUCAACGAUCUGGGCCGGC
This 7357-nucleotide long non-coding RNA is filed under the name Eucalyptus grandis. RNAcentral describes it as "long non-coding RNA (EGRA_LNC003339)". The record is from RNAcentral. Lineage: Eukaryota; Viridiplantae; Streptophyta; Magnoliopsida; Myrtales; Myrtaceae.